This 453-nucleotide ribosomal RNA is filed under the name uncultured Porphyromonadaceae bacterium. RNAcentral describes it as "partial 16S ribosomal RNA". It matches the Rfam family "Bacterial small subunit ribosomal RNA", at positions 341 to 792 of the family's 1533-position model. Lineage: Bacteria; Pseudomonadati; Bacteroidota; Bacteroidia; Bacteroidales; Porphyromonadaceae. The record is from RNAcentral.
ACGGAAGGCAGCAGUGAGGAAUAUUGGUCAAUGGGCGGAAGCCUGAACCAGCCAAGUCGCGUGAAGGAUGAAGGUAUUAUGUAUUGUAAACUUCUUUAGCCAGGGGGCAAUAAGGCGUAUGUAUACGCCGAUGAGAGUACCUGGAGAAUAAGGAUCGGCUAACUCCGUGCCAGCAGCCGCGGUAAUACGGAGGAUCCGAGCGUUAUCCGGAUUUAUUGGGUUUAAAGGGUGCGCAGGCGGCUUUUUAAGUCAGUGGUUAAAUCGUGACGCUCAACGUCAUCACGCCAUUGAUACUGGAGAGCUUGAUUGCGGUCGAGGUUUGCGGAAUUCGUCGUGUAGCGGUGAAAUGCAUAGAUAUGACGAAGAACACCGAUUGCGUAGGCAGCAGACCAGGCCGUAAAUGACGCUCAUGCACGAAAGUGCGGGGAUCAAACAGGAUUAGAUACCCUGGUA